This 335-nucleotide unclassified non-coding RNA is filed under the name soil metagenome. RNAcentral describes it as "partial contains 5.8S ribosomal RNA, internal transcribed spacer 2, and large subunit ribosomal RNA". The stretch from base 1 to 120 matches the Rfam family "5.8S ribosomal RNA", at positions 35 to 154 of the family's 154-position model. The record is from RNAcentral.
GAUGAAGAACGUAGCGAAAUGCGAUAAGUAAUGUGAAUUGCAGAAUUCAGUGAAUCAUCGAAUCUUUGAACGCACAUUGCGCCCGCCAGUAUUCUGGCGGGCAUUCCUGUUCGAGCGUCAUUUCAACCAUCAAGCCCCCGGCUUGUGUUGGGGACCUGCGGCUGCCGCAGGCCCUGAAAACCAGUGGCGGGCUCGCUAGUCACUCCGAGCGUAGUAAUACAUCUCGCUCAGGGCGUGCUGCGGGUUCCGGCCGUUAAAAGCCUUAUUUUACCCAAGGUUGACCUCGGAUCAGGUAGGAAGACCCGCUGAACUUAAGCAUAUCAAUAAGCGGAGGA